This 508-nucleotide ribosomal RNA is filed under the name uncultured bacterium. Its description in RNAcentral is "partial 16S ribosomal RNA". It matches the Rfam family "Bacterial small subunit ribosomal RNA", at positions 28 to 523 of the family's 1533-position model. The record is from RNAcentral.
GAUGAACGCUAGCUACAGGCUUAACACAUGCAAGUCGAGGGGAAACGAUAGAGAAAGCUUGCUUUUUCUAGGCGUCGACCGGCGCACGGGUGAGUAACGCGUAUCCAACCUGCCCACCACUUGGGGAUAACCUUGCGAAAGUAAGACUAAUACCCAAUGAUAUCUCAAGAAGACAUCUGAAUGAGAUUAAAGAUUUAUCGGUGAUGGAUGGGGAUGCGUCUGGUUAGCUUGUGGGUGGGGUAACGGCCCACCAAGGCGACGAUCAGUAGGGGUGCUGAGAGGAAGGUCCCCCAGAUGAGAACUGAGACACGGUCCAAACACCUACGGGAGGCAGCAGUGAGGAAUAUUGGUCAAUGGGAGAGAGACUGAACCAGCCAACUAGCGUGCAGGGUGACGGCCCUAUGGGUUGUAAACUGCUUUUAUAAGGGAAUAAAGUGAGUCUCGUGAGGCUUUUUGCAUGUACCUUAUGAAUAAGGACCGGCUAAUUCCGUGCCAGCAGCCGCGGUAA